Molecule: long non-coding RNA, 33706 nt
Filed under: Sorghum bicolor (sorghum)
Lineage: Eukaryota; Viridiplantae; Streptophyta; Magnoliopsida; Poales; Poaceae
Description: long non-coding RNA (SBIC_LNC001641)
Source: RNAcentral
UCGACUUGCACUCGCAUUUGUCCACGUCCAGGGACUCGAGCUUCUCCUUCAUGAAGCUGAACGGCAUGACUGCAAGAGCGAUCGAUCCCACAUCAGGCGCUUGCUGUUUGAUCAUCAUGUUGGUCUGGGCAACACUUACAUGAGGUGAAGUUGAACUGCCUGACGCUGCCAACACCGCCGUCGCCCUCCACGGGAUGGGCGCUUGUGACGACGUGAGAGGCGACCUUGGGCGCCAGGUUGUGCCAGUCCAUCACGGCGGCGCGGAACAGGCGCGGCGCGGCCACCGGCGACGGGAUCUCUAGGGUCCAGCUGUUGGAAGCCAUGCUGGUGGUGGUCUGGGAUGAGCUUUGGCUCGGUGCCUAGGCCUAGUUUGAUACUAGUAGCUGGAGCUGCUGCUUGUGUUGCUGGAACGAGCGGCAACAAGGUAUUUAAAUAGAGUGCGGUGAGCGCGGGGUUGGUGACGCUUUGCCCGGUUGGUGUCCGGUGGUGACUGGUGAGGGCCUCAAGUUGCUGGGCGAGUCGUCGGGCUUUUCCACAAUGGAUGGCUCUGUCGGUCGAGUGAGCUUUUAGUAAGGCGGGCGUCGAAACACACGUCUUGCACGGUCUUUGUCAAAACACGAGGAUAUAUUCGAGGAGUAUGUUGACGGAAUUGGCGCCACCUUCCGCUUGCACAAUUUGGUCUUUGGUAUAUAAAAGUAGUAUGUAAUGACUGUCAGAGUUCUAGAUAUUUGACUGCAUGUCUGCAUGCUAGGAUAACUUCCAUUCUAGAACGAUAUGAGGCCCUUGACUAACAUGAAUACAUCAUCUUUUGAAUUUAGACAUGAGAAGACUUAAAUUUUGUUUGACAUAACUCAACUUUAUUUUUGAAACUGCUUUUUUUAAAUAGCUCUACGUGCAACUUUCUCGGUAUUAAAAAGUUAUUUUAUAAAAUAGCUUCACUAACAACUUUAUGUAUGGUUGAGAGAGAGAAAUGAAAGAGCGCUUUGAAAAGUUAUUUUUAGCUCUAUUUUUCUGUGAGAGCAUAAAAAAGGUGUUUGACAAAAAACAACAACAACUCACAACAGCUCAUGAAGUUGUUGGUUAAACCGUGUCACAUAGAGCCUCACUUGCUGUCGACGAAAGCUGGUCGGCAGUCUACCUUGGGGUAUACCCACGGUAGUAGUUUAUUGGUAGACGGUGCGCAAACUACGAACUCGACGGUGACGCAAGACUCGGACAAGCUUUUUAUCCAGGUUCGGCCGCCGAGUUGGCGUAAUACCUACGUCCUGCGUCUGGUUGUAUUGAUUUGUGUUGAGAGAAUAUCCUGUCCUAGGGGGGUCCCUUGCCCCUCCUUAUAUAGUCUGGAGGGCAGGGUUACAGAUCUGGAAACUAAUCCUAGUCGGUUACAAUUGUCAUAGAUAGUUCGAUAUCAAUUCCUAUUCUAACCGACUAGAAUCCUGCUUGAUCUCCACAUCUUGCUUCCUUGCGCGAAACCCCAUGCUGUCGGAUCAAGCCUUGAACUCGUCUCGUAAUGGGCCAAGCCUCCUGGCCCAAGUCUAGCCAUAAGGGUAUAGGGGUCUAUCCCCCCACACUUGCUGACAGUGAUGCCACCUUUUUCUUCUUAUCUCAUCCCUUAUGGAUCUUUUAUGAGAAACAUCUUGUUUAAUUUAUAAAAAAACUACCCUUUUUUUAAGUGACUCCUUCUUGCUCUAGCGAGAUCUUUUACCGUUGUCGAAAUGGUAACAUGAUGUACCACUCAACAUGCAUGAGAGGUAAACCACGGUACCUUUAGGACUAAUAGUUUUGACACCUACAGUACCAAACUCAAGUUAUAUAGUUUUGAUAACUUACCAAGGAUAAUAAAAAAAAACUCCUUACAAAUGCCUUCUAUGGCUUCUUAUAGGCACUUGUUAUGAUAUAAGGACACAACUAUGACAAUUAAGGAAUGGUGGGCAUCCUUAUUGAAGGUCCAUUUGGACUUUGGAUGCAAGGGGUAAUUGGUAGUUAGCUAAGAAUUAGCUCCCGUGUAUCUAAAUAGGAAUAUAUGUGCUAAUUUUUUAAUUAGCCAAGUUUUCAGCUAGUCGUUAGGCAAAUAGCUAGCCAACUAUAAACUAAUUUAGACUAAUUUUUAGCCCCAACUAAUAACUAGUGUAUCCAAAUAGAGUAGAAUUGUAAAAGAGAACGAUGGUAGUUCUAGUGUACUAUUUUUAGGAUGUCUACAAAUAACAAAAUAGAAGGGCUUUGCACGGAAAGAUGAAUUGACUCUAAAAAAGAAGGCUUGUGGCAAACCUAGUUUAGGCUUUUCAUUUCGCUGAAAAUACACUGAAAAGUACUGUUCACUGAUUUGUUGUGAGAGAAAAAUCCUGUAUCAUGACUGAUAAAUCUAAUGUCAUUGUUGUAUUCUUUUGUAACUUAAAUUUGCAAAAAUCUACAUUUUCUUUCUUUUUUAAAAGAAAAUGGACAGACAAGAGAGCUACCUUUUAUAUAGUACAGUCAGGCUUCUCCUUACGUGACCUGUCAUUUCUUAAAAAGAAAUGCAAGCUCGGUUGAUAAGGGUUUAGCCGUUUGAGGCCGCCGUUGAGCAUCACUUUUGUCUAAACUCAGAAAAUGAACUAAAAGCUGCUGUGAAGAGAUUUCGUGGCUUAUGAUUUGUUCUGGAAGCUAAAAAAAUAUUACAAAAUUCAAUAAUGAAAAUACAACAGUCAGAAGCCACAAAAUCAGCUUUUAUGUCAAAAGUACAAAAGAUACCGCUCAAACAAACAAGCCCUUAAAUGUCUUCUUCUCCCAGCUCUCUAGUGAACGCUAUAGCUCUUGGAGCUUUCAUAUUUUCCAUAAUAAUUUUAAACACUCUACCAAUAUCUACUGAAAAUGUAUCGAAAAAAUCAAAAUAUCUAUUAGAAAUGAGCAAAAUUAUCGGUCAAACUUGCAUAGAAUUCGAAAACAAAAUGCCCCUAUUCUUCCCACACAUAAAACCAUUGUAUACCCAUUUUCUGUCCCUUCUUCUUUCAAGAAAGUCAUUGUAUACCCAAAUAGUUUUCCAUCCGCCCUAUUUAUAGUCCAGUUUAUCCAGUUUUUGGUAAAACCUAGCCUAGCCCGUAGGAUUUAUCUACAACAGUUUCUAACCCACAGGUACCAGCGGUUUCCCUCCUGAUCUUCCCCAAUCGCCCACUUGCAACACCACGUUGCUCAUUGUUAACUUACUCUCCACGGACCUGUCCGCUCGUCGCGCUCGCCUCGAGCCGUCCGUGCGCUCUGGAGAUCCUAACUUUAUAUAUGGCCAUGCAGCCCAUGGCCCGGUGGCCCGGCCCAUGGCCUGACGAUUUGGCACGGCCCGAGGGACCCUGCCUAGGCCACCACCUAUGCACGCGACAUGGCCCAAGCAUGGCUUUAUCCAACGGUUGGCCCGGUAGCGGCUCGGUGAAAAUAAACUGUUGUGUAGUUGUGACUUAUAUAUAUAUGUGCCGUUAAUUGUUAUAUUGGAGAAAAUGAUGAACAAUUGGUGAAAAUGAUAAAGUGUUUUAGCACUUAGUGAAAAUGUUAAUGAAAAUGAACUGUUUUCGGCUAAACGGGUCGUGGGCUGGCACAAUACGAGAAAAACGCCAUGCUUGACGGGCCGACACGACACGAAAACCGGCCCAUAGGCCGUGCCUUAGGCCGAAGGCUAUGCAUGAAGUCCAUGGAGGCACGACCCGCAGCACGACACUGCAUGACGUUGGACAUAUAUAAUCCUAAAGCAGGACGAUUAGAAGGAAGAAGAUGGGGGUCUCCACCUGUCGUGCAGUGGAAUUCUCGUGCCUCCCCGUGCAUGGCCACGGUGCCACCAUUGACCACACGAGCGCGGCGUGGUGUGCGUCCGAAGAUGUUGUGGCUGGCGUUGAAGACAACCUCGAAGUUGUGCCUCUGUCCUCCAUUGGUGCCCAUGGGUACGCUGUUGAGCGGCGCUGGUGCCCCCUUCGUCGGCACGGGAGGAAGAACACGACCAAGUUUAACGAGUUGAGUGGUGUGGAAACGUCGCAAACCAACACGCGUGGUUUCUCCUGACACGGUUUACCGUGGGCUGAUUCACGGGUACACGGUUAGUAUACAUAUAUAUAGGGGGUGUUUGGUUCAAAAAAUGCAAAUGUCAAUUACUUUGUAAUGAUGGAAUGUAAAAGGUCAAACUUUUCAUGGUUAUGUUUAGUAAUGCAGAAUUUAUUGUCUUUAUAAGGGCCUCUUGAGGUUCUUUUGGUGUGUUUUUUUGCCUCUUGAGGUCAAAAUCUAAAAUAAAGAAUAAUUAUUUUUUUGCUAAAAAUUUUGCAUGCUGUUUAGUUAUAUUAUACAGAACAAUGGACCAAAACCAAGAAUUUUUUAGAAUAGCAGGGGAAAACACCCAUAAUCGCACAACGACAGCAUGCUACAUACCACUCAUAACAUCUCAAGUCCACACACCGCACACUGCUUAGAGCAGCUUUAUUUAUUUUGUACGAAAAAAGGAACAUGAAAGAAAAAAAAUCCAGUCUCUGAAUAUAUCAAAACAUGUAUAAGACCACCCGUGAAGUGCAAUCGCAUCCCCAUCCACAGAUUUAGUUGUAGGCGUCGGGGUUGGCGACGAGGUAGGCCUCGGCACCCUUGAAGAUGGCGGUGACUGCCUCCUUGGCCUUGACUUCCUCGCCCUUCACGUCCACACCCGGCAGCAGCUUGUAGGUCGACUCCACCUUCACCACGCUGCCGCCGCCGGCCGCGGGCUCCACCUUGAUGUGCGACGCCGCGGUCUCGACGGCCACGCCGAUGCCGCCUCCCUCGACGAGCGUCGACUUGCACUCGCACUUGUCCAUGUCCAGGGACUCGAGCUUCUCCUUCAUGAAGCUGAAUGGCAUGACUGCAAGAGCGAUCGAUCCCACGUCAGGCGCUAGCUGUUUGAUCGAUGAUCAAGCGAGAGAACAUCAUGUUGGUCUGGGCAACACUUACAUGAGGUGAAGUUGAACUGCCUGACGCUGCCAACACCGCCGUCGCCCUCCACGGGAUGGGCGCUUGUGACGACGUGAGAGGCGACCUUGGGCGCCAGGUUGUGCCAGUCCAUCACGGCGGCGCGGAACAGGCGCGGCGCGGCCACCGGCGACGGGAUCUCGAGGGUCCAGCUGUUGGAAGCCAUGGCUGGUGGUCUGCGAUGAGCUUUGGCUCGGUGCCUAGCUAGGUCUAGUUUGAUUAGCUGAUGCAAGUAGGUGGAGCUGCUGCUUGUGUUGCUGGAACGAGCGGCAAAAAGGGAUUUAAAUAGAGUGCGAUGAGCGCGGGGUUGGUGACGCUUUGCCCCGUUGGUGUCCGGUGGUGACUGGUGAGGCCUGAAAGUUGCUGGGCGAGUCGUCGCGCUUUUCCACAAUGGAUGGCUCUCCGUCGGUCGAGUGAGCUUUAUUAAUAAGGCGGGCGUCCAAAACACACGUCGUUGUCGCACACUCUUUGUCAAAACACGAGGAUAUAUUCGAGGAAUAUGUUGACCGAAUUGGCGGCUUGCCGCCACCUUCCGCUUGCACAAAUUGGUCUAGGUCUUAAAAACAAGCCAUGUAUGUCACAUUUGGUUGGUAUAUACAAGUAGUAUGUAAUGACUGUCAGAGUUCUAGAUAUUUGACUGCAUGGAUGUCUGCAUGCUGGAUAACUUCCAUUCUAGAACGAUAUGCCUUGACUAACAUGAAUUCAUCAUCUUUUGAAUUUAGACAUGAGAGGACUUAAGUUCCGUUUGACACAACUCAGUUUUAUUAUCGAAGCUGUUUCUUUAGAUAGCUUUAUGAGUAACUUUCUUGGCUGAGCUAUUUUAGAAAAUCAUUUUGUAAAAUAGUUUCACUAACAACUUUAUGCAUGGUUGAGAGGGGAAAAUGAGAGAGCUUUUUGAAAAGUUGUUUUUUAGUUCUACUUUUCCGUGGGAGCAUAAAAAAGGUGUUUGACAAAAGAAAAGAGUAAAGUCCAUCACCAGUCUCUAAACUUGUUUAGGUAUAUCAUCCCGGUCUCUAACUCGCAAAACGAUCGUUUAGGUACCUAAACUUGUUCGGCUAUAUCACUCUGGUCCCUAAACUUGGAAAUCUCAUAUAUAGGCCUUCAAACUUGUUUAGUUGUGUCAUCCCAGUCCCUAAACUUGUUUUUAAGUCUCGUCUGGUUCAAAACGGAACGAAUCUAAAAACUCUAUAAAUAACUCAUAACUUUUUCAUAUAAACUCAAAUAAAGAUAAACUUUAUAUUAAAAUUAUAGCCAACAAUGUGAUCUACAACUUUGUAGUUAAAAAGUUUUUAAACUAAAAUAAUUUAGGGUCUCAUUUUUUUGUAAGUUUAUUAAAUUUUGUGACACUAAAUGACUUCAAAUAAAAAACUUUUCAACUACAAAGUUAUAGAUCACAUUGAAGGCUACAACUUUAAUAUAAAGUUUGUUUUCAUUCAAGUUUAUAUGAAAACGUUAUGAAUUAUUUUUCUAUAUAGAGUUUUUAGAUCGCUUUGUUUUGACCCAGGUGAGACUCAAGACCAAGUUUAGGGACUGAGAUGACACAACUGAAUAAAUUUAAGGACCUAAAUGGGUAAUUUCUAAGUUUAGAAACCAGGAUGACACAUCUGAACAAGUUUAGAGACCGGAAUGAUAUAGACAAACAAGUUUAAUGACCUAAAUGAUCAAUUUAUGAGUUUAGGGACCGAUCGAGGUGAUACAACAGGUGGUGGAUUUUACUAUAAAAACUCACAACAACUCAUGAAGUUGUUGAUGAAGCUGUGCCAAAUAAGGCCUCACUUGCUGACGGUGUUGUCACCCUUUUCUUCUUAUCUCACCCUUUACAGAUCUUUUACAAGAAACAUCUUGUAAACAAAUCGUUGUCACCCUUUUUUUUUUGUUGAGUGACCCCUUCUCGCUCUAGCAAGAUCUUUUGCCGUUCUUCAAAUGGUAACAUGAUGUACCACUCAACAUGCAUGGGAGGUAAAAAAAAUGGUACCUAGGUACUAAUACUUUUGAUAGCUACAGUACCAAACUCAAGUUAUAUAUAGUUUUGAUACCUUACCAACGAUAAAAAAACUCCUUACAAAUGACUUCUAUGGCUUCUUAUAGACACUAGUUGCUAUAUGAUAUAAGGACACAACUAUGACAAUUAAGGAGUGGUGGGGUCUUUAUUAAAGGUUUGUUUGGACUUUGGAUACAAGGCGUAAUUGCUAGUUAGCUAAGAACUAGCUCGUGUAUCUAAAUAUGAGAGUUAAUAGGUGAGUUACUUUUAUAGUCAUUUUUUUUACUAGUCGUUAGUCAACAACCAGUAACUAGCCAUGUGUAUCUAAAUCUCCUACAACUAAAAAGAACAAAACGUGGAUACUUUUUGGUGCGACAUUCUAACGUGGGCCCAUAGUCCUGCCUGCUGCGUUCCCGUGGCCACUCUACAUCGUGCAUGACAUCCCUUGCGAUAUUCAAUUCAAAUCAAGAAUCGAUAUGUCAGGUUCCAGUUUUUAUACGAUUGCCAUAUGAAGCCUUUCCGCCAAAAGCCGUCCGACCACGGUGAAACAAAAAUAAUAAUAAAAUCUGCCCCAAUUCACGGACGGGUGACCAACGUGGCCAUGCAUGAAAGAAAUCGUCUAAAAAAUACUCAACUUUCCAUCUCUUCCGCUCCCUUUUCUUGAGAAAAAUGGUCAACCAUCGUGCAACUAAUCAGGAGACCAUCCCACCGAUCCCGCGUGCACAGCUGGCGGAAGCCCCUCGCGCGGUCACAAUCUCUCCUCAAUCAUGCACGGACAUCGCGUUCCUUAGGCAAAAGCAGAAAUUCCUCUCGAUCAUGCGCCGCCGCAACGAAACAUCUUCCUUUCCUGCCCGACGCCCUCGCUCUCGGUGCUUGGAGAGAUCGAGCCGAGCAUACCGGCUUCCCCUGAAGGCUUGAGACGGACACAGUUGACUGCUUCUUCGUCAUUGAUUGUCGCCAGCAACUGCGCCCUUGGCAUCGGUGUGGCCUUGCAAGAUUGGAUCUUUUUGUUUUCAUCCCAAUCAUCGCCAUGGCGGCCUCCUCCCCCUGAACGAUGAACGCAGCUGCUUCGUCAUUGAUGAUCAGCUUCUGACCCUUCACCAAUCUCUAUCCCCUAUUAUUUGUUCCAUCAUCUGUUCCACUUUCCACGAUUGAUUCAGUACUGGUGUUGCAAACUUAUUUCGAUUCUCAAAAAGCGAACAACCUGAUCGGUUUGGUAAGCAUCUUUCUAUUCCAGGCUAUCGAAGCUCUCAUUAAGCUUUUUGAUUCAGUUUGUGCCAAAGGUACGUUCUUGGCAAAUGCGAGCUGGCACCAUGAAGCAAAUUAUAGCUAUUGGAGUCCAGUAGAUAAUAUCUUGUGUGAUCUCCUUGUUCUUAAAUAGUGUAAUUUAAGAAAAAACUUAUUCAUGUUUGUUCUCUUCGACCUUUUUAGAUACAAGACACAGAUUAUUAUAUUGAUAUCAUAAUUGGUUGUGGCAUUGAGGUGUGUAAAUUUAUGCUUUUCUCUUUUCUGUCGGUGUUUAAACUCUCUUCUGAAUUCAUGCCAUCCAUUGACUCCAGGUGAGAAACACCUCCUGUUGUUUAAUUGUUUUUUUGCUCUUGCUUUCAGUAUGAAUAGUCAAAUAUAGUCAAAACAAUAACCUGGUUCAGUAGUAAUAAGGAAUCAAGCUAUUGCAACACUUCUUGUCAAAAAAAUGCAGCACUUCUAGAGUUGCUACGGGUUUUAAAAUUCUCACUUGCUGCACAUUAGGAGACGAAAUUCUUGGUUUCAGUUAGCAGAGUGACACUUAUCACUGUUAUCUAUAAGGCAAAUCUAACAACAUAGCACAGAUUGUGGACAUCAGUUUUUUUUUAGAAAGUGGACAUUGUGGGCGGCUGAGCGGGCACCUACGGGUGGGCGCGGCCGGCGUCAUGGCCAGCUCUGGGCGGGCGCGGGGUGGGGGAGGGGGGUGAUCAAGGCUGAAUCACAGGAAGGUUUCCUUUUAGGUGCUGUUAGCUUGGUUGGCUAAUCCCACACGCUUGAGGAGUUGCCUCUAGGAGGGGGCUGAAAUCACUUGGAGUUUCUUUUGAAUAUCGCAACGGGUGGAAAUAUUGAUCACGAAAAAAGUGGAAACAAAUAGCACCUUGGCUCUUUCCUUUUGAAUAUAGCAAAGGAUGCUGUAGGUGGGCGACGACGUUGUAGGCUCACAAAAUCACUGUCGUUUGCAAUAACAAAUACCUAUGAUUUAACUAUUUCUAUAUAUUGCUGAUCAUGAAUCUUCCUACAGGUACUUAAGUGGAUUUCUCAUCCUACAAUAUAUGUCUACAUGGAAUAGACCAAAAGCCACACAUAUUUAUACAGUGAGUCUAACACUUUGUCUAAGUUUUUGUAAAAGUUUUUUAACAAAAUAUAGUAUUACCCAUGCGACACACACUAAUAUUUACAUAUAUAUACUCGAAUGUGUGACAGGAUGGUACGAAGAUGCGGCAGAAUUUAUUUGUGGAUUUACUGGCACAUGAAAGAAAUGGAUAUCCGAGAUAUCUUCCCGUCGAUAUUAAACAUUAUCUUAGCCGUAUCACGGAAAGGUCUAUAAAGUAGAGUUUGUGAGCCUACAACGUCGUGCUCUUCGUGACUGUGUUUGAUUUCACAAACAUUGCGAUCCUACAAUGUCAUUUUCAAGUUGUUAUUUAAGUAGAAGAUUCUAAUAUUAUUAUCUUGUUAUGCGAUCUAUGUAUUUUAAAUAAAAAAUGUUAGCUAUCCCGUAGCAACGCACGGGCAUGCUAUCUAGUAGAGUAGAAUUGUAAAAGAGAACAAUGGUAAUUCUAGUGUACUAUUCUUGAGAUGUCUAGAAAUAACAAAAUAGAAGGGCUUUGCACGGAAAGAGGAAUGUACUGUGAAAAACAUGGCAUAACUUAUGCCGAGGCUGUUCGUUCCGUUAAAAAAAUAAGUUGAAAAGAAAGUAAUGUUCACUAAUUUAUUGUGUGAGAAAAAUAUUGUAUCAUAGCUGAUAAGUCUGUAGUGUCAUUGUUAUAUUCGUUUGUAACAUAAAUUUGCAAAACUCUACAUUUAACAUUUUCUCUUUUUUUUAGAAAAAAAUGGACAGACACGAGAGCUACCUUUUAUAUAGUACAGUCAGGCUUCUCCUUACGUGAUUGAGCAAAGCUCGGUUGAGCAAACAAGGAUGACACAUCUGAACAAGUUUAGAGACCGGAAUGAUAUAGACAAACAAGUUUAAUGAUCUAAAUGAUCAAUUUAUGAGUUUAGGGACCGAGAUGAUACGACAGGUGAUGGAUUUUACUAAAAAAACUCACAACAACUCAUAAAGUUGUUGAUGAAGCUGUGCCAAAUAAGGCCUCACUUGCUGAUGGUGUUUUCACCCUUUUCUUCUUAUCUCACCUUUUACAGAUCUUUUACAAGAAACAUCUUGUAAACAAAUGGCUUAACUCUUUUUGUUGAGUGACCCCUUCUCGCUCUAGCAGGAUCUUUUGCCGUUCUUCAAAUGGUAACAUGAUGUACCACUCAACAUGCAUGGGAGGUAAAAAAAUGGUACCUAGGUACUAAUACUUUUGAUAGCUACAGUACCAAACUCAAGUUGUAUAUAGUUUUGAUACCUUACCAACGAUAAAAAAACUCCUUACAAAUGACUUCUAUGGCUUCUUAUAGACACUAGUUGCUAUGAUAUAAGGACACAACUAUGACAAUUAAGGAGUGGUGGGGUCUUUAUCAAAGGUUUGUUUGGACUUUGGAUACAAGGCGUAACUGCUAGUUAGCUAAGAACUAGCUCGUGUAUCUAAACAUGGGAGUUAAUAGGUGAGUUACUUUUAUAGUCAUUUUUUUGACUAGUCGUUAGUCAACAACCAGUAAUGUGGGGGUAUAAACCCCUAUACCCUUACGGCUAGACUUCGGCCAGGAGGCUUGGCCCAUUACGAGACGAGUCCAAGGCUUGAUCCGACAACCUGGAGUUUCGCGCAAGGAAACAAGAUGUGGAGAUCAAGCAGGAUUCUAGUCGGUUAGAAUAGAAAUUGAUAUCGAAUUAUCCAUGACAAUUGUAACCGACUAGGGUUAGUUUCCGGAUCUGUAACCCUGCCCUCCAGACUAUAUAAGGAGAGGCAAGGGACCCCCCUAGGACAUCAUAUUCUCUCAACACAAAUCAAUACAACCAGACGCAGGACGUAGGUAUUACGCCAACUCGGCGGCCGAACCUGGAUAAAAAGCUUGUCCGUGUCUUGCGUCACCAUCGAGUUCGUAGUUUGCGCACCGUCUACCGAUAAACUACUACCGUGGGUAUACCCCAAGGUAGACUGCCGACUAGCUUUCGUCGACAGUGGCGCGCCAGGUAGGGGGUGUGCGUGCAACUUUUCCGGCGAACAAGAUGGUCACGAUCCCAGCUUCCGCGACCGUGCCCGAAGGCCUCACGUUCACCGUCGGCCAGAUCACGUGGACGGCGUGCAGCGGCGGCUUCACGACCACGGUUUCGGAAGAGAUCCAGAUCCAAUCUGAGUUCACGCCGUCUCCGACCACACGCAUGACGGCACCAAGCGCCCGACCACCGUUCCCACUCUACAAGGGAAAGGAGAUCGACUGCUCGGACCUUCUCCAAGCGCUUGAUCGCGCUGACUCCAAGCUACUCGAAGUUUCCCAACUAAUAGAUGGAGUUCUGCGUCGGCCCGACCAAGCUGCUCCAGCGGAUUUUUUCAAAUCCCGCCGGCCAACUCGUGUCGCCACACACGAACGGCUGGGAACGUCUCUGACGAUAACCUCAACCCCCUCAGGACGAUCCGUCCAGCUCAAGAAGGAAGACUAUCCUUGCGGCCUGAACAACUCGACCUCUGUUUACUCACGGCACACCCAAUCCGUUUUCAGCAAGGCGGGUUGGUCGCCGACAACGAACAAUCGUCACCACGUCAACAUGGUGACAAUCCGAGAACUACGGGACGGCCAGGCUUCCAGCACCAACUCAAGCACCGGCUCCGUCCCCACCGAGGUUAUAAACACCGAAGACGAGGACUAUGACCUGGAUUUCCCUUCAUACCCUCCGGGUUUCGACCGAUUCCCGAUAUUCCCCCCCCGGCGAGGGGAUAUUGUGUUCAAUGUCAGCGCCGACGAACCGGUCGUUGAUGGAGAAACAGAUGACCAGAGGCAACUCCGCGAACGGCGUAACGCCGAUCGCGCCCGACGACGCGCGGACGAGCAACAACAAAUGCCACCAAAUAAUCUCAACGAUGCCUUUGACAUGGUCGGGGACCAGCCAGUCUACAAAACGCCAAGCGCCAACGUGGCUGUCGCCAUGGCUAACCUGGAUCGGCUUCCCGACACCCCCGAAUGCCAGGGAGUCCGGACCAGCAUCCGAGCACACCUGAUCGCCGCAAUGGGACAGACGGCCACUCUGCUCAAGAGAGUCUAGGACGUCUCUUAUACGGAAGCCGUCUCCGACCAGACUAAUCAUAGCCGGGCCUCACCCAGCAGGCGUCACCGCAGCCGCUCCCCCGACAACCGUCGAGGGGACUCACGGCGCGACGAUGGUGGUCGGGACGCCGAUGGCCGCCGCAAGCAGAACCGCGUACGCGGCCAAGAGGAAGAUCAACACAGGGAUCUCCGCCACAACAUCCCUUCCAAAGAUGCCCGGGACCACAUCAACAGGCGCGCUGCAGAGAGAGCAGUCCACGAAAACCUGCGCCGCAUCGAGUACGAUGCAACACACGGUCCCCCGGGCCUAAGACAGUUCUCCUCGCACCUCCGCCAGGUCGUGUGGCCCCGCAAUUUCAAGCUCGAAAAACUCAAAAAGUACGACGGCAAGGAAAAUCCAGAGAACUGGAUCACCCUCUAUGACAUCGCCGUCCGAUCAGCGGCAGGGGACGAGCACGUCAUGGCUAACUACUUCCCCGUAGUCCUCGACCAGGCUGGUCAUCAGUGGCUUCUCGGCUUGCCCGAGGACUCCUUCGACUCUUGGGAAGAGCUACGCCAGGCUUUCAUCGACAACUUCAUCGCCACAUGCGAGCAGCCUGGAAACAAGUAUGACCUUGAAAGGAUAAGGGACAGGAAGAACGAACCUCUGCGCGAUUACAUCCGACGAUUCUCGGAUAUGCGCCUCAAAAUCCCGAAGAUUUCUCAUGACGAGGCCAUCUCAGCCUUCAUCAAGGGCCUGCGUUUCCACGAAGCGCUGAGGAACAAGCUGUUGCGUAAGCGUCCAACAACGGUAGCAGAGCUCCUCGCCACGGCCAAAAAUUACGCCGAUGCCGAUGACGCAGAAAAACUAAUCCGAGACGAUGCGAGGGGUCCCGACCAGCCUCCCCGACGAGAUGAUGGUCGUGGUCGCAACGACAGCAGAAAUCACCGCCGCUCCGACAACCGCGAUCAUCGAGAGGGUUGGGAUCGGCGGCGCGACAGCCGCGAUGACUUCAGAGGAAAGCGCCCUCGCGACUACGACCACGAAGUAAAUACGGUCAAACGACCCAAUGGACGACGGGACUACCAAGAAGACUACAACAAAACGUUGAGGGGACCAUGCCAACUACACCCAAAGUCCAAUCAUACCAUGGAAGAGUGCCGCGUCCUCAAAAGUAUCUAUACACGGCGGGCCGCCCAAGACGACUCCGCCAAGAAAAACAACAAGCGCGACGCGCACGACCACGAAGAUGAGGAUGAGGACCAAGAUAGGGACCCCCGACACCAAUACGUCAGCCCCACUGACGUGGUCCACUCCAUUUUCGGGGGCAAGGUCUCCACUGAGUCCAAGCGAGAAAGAAAGCUGUUAAAGAGAGCCUGCCUCAACAUAGACAGCACGGACGGGCUGAUCGCAGACCCGAAAUUUCCCACGUGGUCCCACAGGGAGAUCUCGUUCAGCAGGAAGGACCAGUGGGCCGCUAUCCCAGAGCCGGGUCGUUUCCCCCUGAUUCUUGACCCCUGCAUCAACAGCAUCAGAUUCGAGCGCGUGCUCGUGGACGGGGGAAGCUCCAUCGACAUCCUCUUCCGCAACAGCCUGCCCGCCCUCAAGAUAUCCCCGGCACAACUAAAACCUUACGACGCCCAAUUCUGGGGGGUUUUGCCAGGUCAAAGUUCCGUGCCUCUCGGACAGAUAACAUUGCCUGUCCAAUUCGGCACACCCGACCACUUCCGGACAGAGUUCAUCAACUUCGUAGUCGCGGAUUUCGACGGGACCUAUCACGCCAUACUGGGCCGCCCAUCGCUGACAAAGUUCAUGGCAGUCCCGCACUACUCAUACCUAGUCCUUAAGAUGCCCACGGAGAAGGGUGUCCUAACCAUCAGAGGCAACGUCUACACUGCGUACACCUGCGAAGAAGAAAGCUUCAAGAUCACCGAGGCAAUUGACCUCUCAAUCCGCAUGGCGGAAACAGCAAACCAAGCCGCACAGCUGCCUCCCGACCAGCUCCGAUUACCCGAACAGGCGACAGCCAGGAAGAACUCAAAAUCCAAGGAGUACAAAGAAGUGCAGCUGGUCGAAGGCAACCCCGAGAAGACAGCCCUCAUCGGGGCCAACCUGGAUCCAAAAUAGGAAGACGCGCUCGUCAGGUUUCUAAGGGACAACGUGAGCGUUUUCGCAUGGAAACCCGCAGACAUGCCCGGUGUCCCACGAAACCUGAUCGAGCACUCCUUAAAUGUCUCGAAGACCGCAAGACCAAUCAAGCAAAAACUGCGACGGUUCGCUCGUGACAAAAAGGAGGCUAUUAGGACAGAAAUAACACGGCUUCUAGCAGCCGGAUUCAUAAAAGAAGUGUAUCACCCCGAUUGGCUCGCCAAUCCGGUUCUUGUACGCAAAAAGAAUAAUGAAUGGAGAAUGUGCGUUGAUUACACUGAUCUCAACAAACACUGUCCUAAAGAUCCUUUUGGUCUCCCUCGCAUCGACGAGGUGGUCGACUCAACGGCCGGAUGCGAACUCCUCUCCUUUCUAGACUGCUACUCUGGUUAUCACCAGAUCUCGCUAAAGGAAGAAGAUCAGAUCAAAACAUCCUUUAUCACACCCUUCGGCGCAUACUGCUACACGACCAUGUCUUUCGGACUCAAAAACGCCGGAGCCACUUAUCAAAGGGCCAUCCAGCAAUGCCUCCACGACGAGAUUCGUGAUGACCUCGUCGAGGCCUAUGUGGACGACGUGGUCGUAAAAACAAGGGACGCGAGCACCCUAAUCGACAACUUAGACCGAACCUUCAAGGCACUUAAUAGGUACAAGUGGAAGCUCAACCCCAAGAAAUGCAUUUUCGGCGUUCCUUCCGGUCUACUGCUCGGCAACGUUGUCAGUUGCGACGGCAUACGACCAAACCCUUCAAAAGUAAAGGCGGUACUCGACAUGCGACCACCGAAGAACGUAAAGGAUAUCCAAAAGCUAACAGGAUGUAUGGCCGCCCUCAGUCGCUUCAUCUCAAGGCUAGGAGAAAAAGGCCUCCCUUUCUUUAAACUGUUAAAAGCGUCGGAAAAAUUUUUUUGGACAGAAGAAGCCGACACCGCAUUCAACCAGCUUAAGACCUUCCUCACUUCACCACCUGUCCUUACAGCCUGGAGUUUCGCACAAGGAAACAAGAUGUGGAGAUCAAGCAGGAUUCUAGUCGGUUAGAAUAGAAAUUGAUAUCGAAUUAUCCAUGACAAUUGUAACCGACUAGGGUUAGUUUCCGGAUCUGUAACCCUGCCCUCCAGACUAUAUAAGGAGAGGCAAGGGACCCCCCUAGGACAUCAUAUUCUCUCAACACAAAUCAAUACAACCAGACGCAGGACGUAGGUAUUACGCCAACUCGGCGGCCGAACCUGGAUAAAAAGCUUGUCCGUGUCUUGCGUCACCAUCGAGUUCGUAGUUUGCGCACCGUCUACCGAUAAACUACUACCGUGGGUAUACCCCAAGGUAGACUGCCGACUAGCUUUCGUCGACAAGUAACUAGCCAUGUGUAUCUAAAUAGAGUAGAAUUGUAAAAGAGGACGAUGGUAAUCCUAGUGUACUAUUCUUGAGAUGUCUUGAAAUAAUAAAAUAUAGAAGGGCUUUGCACGAAAAGAGGAUGUGAAAAACAUGGCUUAUGCCGAGGCUGUUUGUUCGGUUAAAAAAAUAAGUUGAAAAUAAAGUAAUGUUCACUAAUCUAUUGUGUGAGAAAAAUAUUGUAUCAUAGCUGAUAAGUCUGUGUGUCAUUGUUAUAUUCGUAACAUAAAUUUGCAAAACUCUACAUUUCUCCCUUUUUUUUAAAAAAAAUGACAGACACGAGCUACCUUUUAUAUAGUACAGUCAGGCUUCUCCUUACGUGAUUGAGCAAAGCUCCUGCCAUUUCUUAAAAAAAUGCAAGCUCGGUUGAUAAGGGUUUUGCCGUUUGAGGCUUCCGUUGAGCAUCACGUUUGUGUAAACUCAGAAAAUAAACUAAAAGCUGCUGUGAAGUGAUUUCGUGGCUUUUGAUUUGUUCUGGAAGCUAAAUAAAUAUUAAAUAAAUUUAAUAAUAAAAAUACAGCUACAAAAUCAGCUUUUAUGUCAGAAGUACAAAAGGUACCGCUCAAACAAACUAGCCCUUAGGGGGGCGUUUGGUUGCCUACACCAGUCCUCCUGAGCCAGGCUCUCCGCGUGCGAGAACAGACAUUUGUUUGGUUGGCAUAUGUGCCGAGCGAGGCUACACGCGUGCAAAAAGCCUCUCGCAGCCAGGCUCUGCUGAAACGCAGAAAUCGGCCGUUUUUGUUGGGCCUGGCUCACCUCAUGCGAGCAAGCACUGAACGAUGCAUGACGUGUGAGAUAGAGAUACGUGAACACGGUGAACCAAACAGAUGCUGCUGUUGGCCUAGCUGUAGUGAUCCAAGUAACCAAACAAGAUGCUAUCGCAUACAUAGAGCCUGGUCAAAGUUGGCCUGACUAGCUCUGUGCGAGCUAGGCUCUACCGAGCAACGAACCAAACAGUCUCUAGAUGUCUUCUUCUCACUGUGUGAAAAAAUGGCAUUACAGACGCGCCUUUACUGAUAUCACAGAUGCUCCUGAGUGCGUCAGUGAUAUAAAGUCUGAUAAAUAUUUAAUAAGACCUUAAUACUGACGCACUUCUAACAUCCGUAUGUAAGUAACACAUAGACACGUCAGUAGUAAAGCUUUUUCAGCGACGCCUAUCUAGAACACACGUCAUUAAGGUCCAGCUCGUCAGUACAAAAUUCUAACUGCAGACGCUUCUUCAGGAAUAGGGGUCUGUAGUAAGGAUUAAGCCACAGACGCAUUAUCCAGAGACGCGUCUACAGUAUGAAUUAAAUUGUAACAGUACCAUCGGCAUAUCUCUGUACUAAAUACCUCAAUGAAACGACAUAAAUACACAUCAACAUCUCAUUAAUUAGUACACAGCUUUAACACAAUCAAAUACAGAUCAAAGUUUAAUCACUAAAUUAAAUGUGUAGCUCUAAUAAAGUCACGUUACCUUAUGGCUGGCUAUCGAAUAACUUAUUUUGUAGCUUGAUCAAAACUGGCUCGUGGUCACCAGCGCACCAUGUGUGUCCAUUCAUCCAUGGCAGCUUAGGCGCGUGGCUUUGGCUUUGUGUCUCCCACCUCUCUAGUGAACGCGAUAGCUCUUGAAGUUUUUAUAUUUUCCAAAAUAAUUUCAAUUUUAAACGCGUACUAAAACAAAUUCAGGGUUACUGAUACAAAAUAUGAGAUCGGGUCGUAGAAAAAAGUGCCGAGAGAAAAACUUUUAGAAUAAAAAUAUAGAAAACUUUUGAAGAUGAUUUCUUUUUUUACUCCUCAUGUUAAUCUAGGAGUUCAUAAACAUGAUAUUUUGGGGAAUAUAAUAUAAAAGAUCUCUUGGAGAUGCUAUCUUUUCUUCCACCUCUCUAGUGAACGGUAUAGCUCUUGAAGCACAAAUCCAAUUCUACGGACGUUCAUUCAUUCUACCUCUUGAAGCUUUCAUAUUUUCCAAAAUAAUUUCAGUUUUCAAGACAUAUUCACUGGAACAGCCUCCCAAUAUCUAUUCAAAAUGUAUUCACACGAAAAAGUAAAUAUAUAUUCCAAAUGAGCAAAAUUCCUUAUUUGGUCAAACUUGCGUAGGAUUCCAAAAGGGUUUUUUUGAACGGUGCCAUUACAAUUUCAAAGUAUUUGAAAUAUGCCAUUAUAAUUCAGGUAUCCUGAAGCGGACCAUUACAAUUCUUGCAAAAUUUGAAAUAUGCCAUUGGAUACGGUAGAAGGACGCUUGGGCCUGCUUGCAAGCCGACGUGGCAUACGGUCGACCGUAUGCGCCCGUCGCCGUGAGCCAUCUAAACGGCGCGGCAAAAAACGCCGUCUCCACCCCGCCCCUGACUCAUUCUCGCUCUCCAUCUCUCUGUCUCUCUCGAGCGUAACCCUAGGCGCGGCGGCGGCGGCGUGGCGGCGGCGGCGCAGGGGGAGGCAAUGGAAUAGGGGCGCAUGUCCAUGGCAGACGUGCCCCCGUGCACGGCGCAGCGCAGGGCGCCGCGGAUGGGGGAUAGCAACGAAAGGUAAUGUUUUGUCCUUCCAGAGCACGAAUACGAGUGCAUUAGGUCUUGAUCUGUUGAUUGGCAUUAGAUAUUGAUGUGAUUUGGUUGAUGCUAGGGUUCCGCUAUUUUCUUUAGAAAUUAAAGUGGAAGCAUUCUGUUGGAGAGACUCUUUGGGUAGGAAAGCUUACACAAAGGGCUCUGUAAUUAAGUGGGAUGUGGAGAUUGGCUCGUUUUCAUUUGAUGUACUGAUGGCCAGCUUGCGCAAUGCUGUCAAUUGCUCUACUACUCAGUGUCCAGUUGCUUGGUUCUAUGAUAAAAGGUUGUCUCAAGAUGUCAUGCUAGAAAAUCAAUUCCAGAUUAAUGAUAUGUUUGAGAUGUAUAAGGAGGAGAUGCAUUGCCACAUUGUCGUAGGGGUAUUUGAUCAGUCUGUUCCCACUAUUGAUCAAUUUGAUGAACUAGAUCUUCCUCCUGACACUAGCACUGGCAACCCAGCCAGUACUGACAGUUAUGUUAACCAGCCCACAUUUGAGGCAGAUGUUGCACCAGAGGCUGAAGUUGAGACUCAACUUGAGCCUGAUAGGGAACCUGAUAUGUUUGAUAACGAUGAGGAGUAUGUGGGUUGUGAUGAUGAGGGCAUGUACAUGCCAACACCACCAACACAGCCUCCUAGUAAUUCACCUCCACAUGCUUCUCAUGAUGCUGAAAAUGCUGAUGCUGAUGCUGAUGCUUUUCCUGUUGAGGCAGAGGUCACUGAUGCAGACCCUGAAGAGAUCAAUAUCAUUCAUGACCCAGAACAUCCCAAGAUUGUAAAGGGGGAGUUAUUUCCUGAUAUUGUUUCAUUCAGGAAAGCUAUCAGGCAUUUCUCUGUUACUAAAGGCUAUGUGUUAGCUGGUAUCAAAACAGACCCAUCAAGAUUUAUUGCAAAGUGCAAAUCCGAGGGAUGUCCUUGGCGCAUACAUGCAUCUAGGCUGCAGGGUAGAAAGACAAUACAGGUAACUGUCUAUUCACUAGUUCCUUUGUGCAAGUUUUAUUUUUUCUUUACCUGACAUGUUUCGUAUGCACAGAUCAAAGUACUGCCUGCAGAAGAUGGCAUCACAGUCUUGGUGUGCAGAUAGGCUGGCAGAUUGGAUAAAAAAACAUCCAACAAAACGUGCAAAAGAGUGCAGGGAGAAGUUGGAAGAUGAUUAUGGCAUCAAGCUGAAGUAUUCAAAGGCUUGGUCAGGUAUGCAGUGCGCAUUGGAUCAAAUCCAUGGUAAAUAUGAGGAAAGUUUUCAACUGCUAUUCAAUUGGGGUGCUCAAAUUGAAAAGGUAUCUCUUGGUAGCACUGUAGUGGUAGAGGUUGACAAAAUUGGUAAGAAGAACAGAUUCAAAAGAAUGUUUGUUGCUCUAAAGCCUUAUGUAGAUGGAUUCUUGGCUGGUUGUAGGCCUUUUUUGGGUAUAGAUGCAUCUUGUUUGAAUGGAAAGUAUAGAGGUCAGCUAGCUUCAGCAACCAGUGUAGAUGGACAUAAUUGGUUGUAUCAUGUAGCUUAUGGCAUUUUUGACAUAGAAAAUGAAGACAACUGGACAUGGUUCUUGCAACUUCUUAGUAGAGCAAUUGGGCCUGUCCCAAAUCUUGUAGUUUGUACAGAUGCAUGCAAAGGCGUGGAGAAUGCAGUGGGUAAAACUUUUCCAACAGCUGAGAAUAGGGAAUGCAUGAGACAUAUGUACCAAAACUUUUAUGAAGCACUAUUCUAGUGAUGUAUUCACAGACCACCUUAUCCUACAGCUAGAAGUUACACUCAAGAAAAAUUCCAGUGGCACAUGAAUCAGAUACAUGAGUAUGCUCCUCAAGCUAUAGAAUAUAUUGAGAAUUACCACAGCAGGAUAUGGUACAGGUGUGGGUUCUCAGAAAGUAGCAAGUGUGAUUAUUUGACCAACAAUGUGUCAGAAAGCUUCAAUGCACAGGUGAAGCACCUCAAAGGUUUAUUAUUACAUGAACUGGUAGAUGUUGAUAUUUGGUAACGCAAUAAGGAAAUAAUCCGCAAGCGCACGGAUAUCGGUGAGCAUUUCACCCGGGAGGUUUUCCAGAGUAUCGUAUUUAUAUUUUUACCACUGGGAGAAAGGGUGCAUCUGACUAACCAAAUCUAUUGCUACUAUCCCUUUAGGCUACAAAGAAUGUUUCUCAAUGUGAGUGAUAUAUAGAGAAGACUGCAACCGUAGUCUCGUUCUAACCUUGGUAAGGAUGAUCUACUGUUCUAUUGGGGAAGCUUACGGAAUCUAGACACCACAAAGGAUGUUUGACCCGCACCUAUAAACCUACCCGUCCUGCUAACAAGAUAUGGGAUACAAAGGUAACUCGGAAAUGUCACGUUCCUCGCUACUACCACGGUCCAGCUAGUCAGGGGAUAUCUAUGAGUACCCUAGUGAAAGGUCCUAAUAUGGCUAGAGGGGGGUGAAUAGCCUAUUUAAAAAUUCUACAAACUCACUAGAGCGAGAGGUUAGUAAAUAACAAAGCGAAGCCUUUUGCUCUAGCUCUAAUGGGGUGUUUGCAAGCCACCUGUCCAACAAUUCUAGUUGAUAUAAUCACUAGACACACAAGAGCUAUGUCACUACUUACACUAGAAAGCUACCUAAAGUUUCUAUACAAGUAAGUAAGCUACUCUAGUUUGCGGGAAUGUAAAAGAGAUGGUUUUAACUUUAUACCGCCGCAUAGAGGGGAUGAACCAAUCACUAAUAUGAAGUCCAAUCACCGGGAGAAAUCCAAUGAACAAUCACAAUGGAUACACACAAUUUUACUCCCGAGGUUCACGUGCUUGCCGGCACGCUACGUCCCCGUUGUGUCGACCAACACUUGGUGGUUCGGUGGCUAAGAGGUGUAGCACGAACCUCGUCCUCACUAGGACACCACAAGAACCUACCCACAAGUGAGGUAGCUCAAUGACACGAGCAAUCCACUAGAGUUACCUUUCGGCUCUCCGCCGGGGAAGGUACAAGACCCCUCACAAUCACCGGGAGAUGGCCACGAACAAUCACCAACUCGUGCUAAUCCUCCUCCGUUGCUCCAAGCCGUCUAGGUGGCGGCAACCACCAAGAGUAACAAGAAAACCGCAGCUAGAACGAUCCCCAAGUGCCACUAGAUGCAAUCACUCAAGCAAAUUCACUUGGAAUCACUCCCAAUCUCACAAAGAUGUUUAAUCUAUGAAGGAGAUGAGUGGGAGGUGUUUGCUUAGGCUCACAAGGAUGUUAUGUAUGUUAGAAUGCCAAGAGAGUGAGCCCCAAGCCGGCCAAACACGUAUUUAUAAGCCCCUCAAGCAAAUAGAGCCGUUGGCACUUUCACUGGGCAAACUGCGGGGUCACCGGACGCUCUCAAAGGGGCACCGGACGCUCAACACCAGCGUCCGGUGCUCCAACGUCAGCCAUGUGUCGCCUUUUGAAAAACUCGUGUCAGAGUCUAACGGUCACCUGCAGUGCACCGGACGCUAAGCAAGUUAGCACCGGACGCGUCCGGUGCACACCGGACUCAUGCGCAGAGAGCUCCGCAAACUCGCACGGUCACCGGACGCAAGCCACCGGACGCACCCUGAGCAUCCGGUGCUCACCGAACUCAUGCGCAGAGAGGGUUGCAAAACGCCCUCACACCGGACGCUAACCACCGGAAGCGUCCGGUGCUCACCGGACCCAUGCGCAGAGAGGGUCGCAAAACGCCCACACACCGGACGCGCACCACCGGACGCUCAAGCCAGCGUCCGGUGCCUAUCGUCCGGUGCCUUACCCUAGCUGGGCCAGGCACUGUCUGCACCGGACGCUCAGACGCAGCGUCCGGUGCUCCAGAAGCCAGCGUCCGGUGAGUGUUUUCUCAGCGAGAAACACUCCCACGACUACUCCAAAUUUCCUACCGACGCAAUAGAAAAUAUGCAUUUUAUUUUCUCGAAAAGCGCCGAAUCCCACCUCGCAAGCUCGGCGGGAGGGAGAGAGGAACCCAUCCUCUCUCUACGUACUCUUCAAACUCCACCUCCUUCUCAAAGUGUGCCAACACCACAAGUGUAAACCAACAAGUGUGCACGUGUGUUAGCAUUUUCACAAUCAUUUUCUUAGAAGGAGUUAAGUUAGCUCACUAGGUUCUAAAUGCAUACACAUGAACAAUGACACCUAGUGGCACUUGAUAACCGCUUAGCCAAAGAAUUCCCCUCUUUAUAGUACGGCUAUCUAUCCUAAAUGUGAUCACACCCUCUAUGGUGUCUUGAUCACCAAAACCAAAACCCUAAGCAAUACCUUUGCCUUGAUCUCCAUAGGGUUUUGUUUUUCUCUUUCUUCUUUUCCAAGUUGAGCACUUAAUCAUCUUGUGGUCAUCACCAUGAUCAUCAUGAUCAUCACUUGCUCCAUCACUUGGCAUGUACCAACCUCAUUAAGUCUACACACACUUAGUAUAGAGGUUAGUACUAGGGUUUCAUCAAUUAUCCAAAACCAAACUAGGGCUUUCACCUAGCCUAAACACCACGUUUACGCUAGCAAUAAUUACUCUAAUACUCAACCGGAAGAGGAUUAAAUUAAACUCAUAAACCAAAGAACAAUAAAACAAGAACUUACUAGAAUUAGAAGUCGAAUUACUGAAGAAUCUUAGAAGCAAGCCUCGGGUUAGAAGACUUGAUCCCGCAGGUACAACUCGGAGUAGACACCGACAGGUCGGCCUUCCUCCGAUCUACACCUCCACUCUAUCUCUCUCAAUCUAGUAGAAACUAGAAGAUCUAUUUCUACUUACAUUGGUUGCUAAGCCUAAAAAAAUAUUAUUUAGAGAAGAGGUUUUCCUUCGAGGGCACCCCUCAAUCUCUAUGAUAACUUCUUGUCUUCUCCAGGGGCCAGGGGGGUCUCCUUAUAUAGUCCUCCUCCUCUAUGCGUUUUUGGGUCGGUAGGCGAUGUGGUACUACAUUAUCCUUGAUCCAUUAGGUCGGUGGAACAUCGUGUGCGAAGAGAGUCCCGAACGGAGUCUAGGACACGGCGGGCGCCCAGGGAAAGAGGGCGGGCGCCCUGGGCCUGGCCCCUUUCGGCCUCUGCUUUCUUCCCGUGGCUUCUGGAGUCUUCUAGAUGGUAGAAAAUUACGCGGUGCGUUGAUAUCUCUAUGUAAUCCCGACAUGUGGGCCUUUCUUCCGUAUUUUUUGAUAACCCCCUGCAGAAAUAGACAAACACCAAAACUCAUGGAAUUCUGUCAGAUAAAACCCUAAGUCUAGAUGUUGAUUUCAUUUGGAUCCUUUUCUUUGUUUAUUUGAUAAUUAAAUUUGAUACUUAAGGACCGUCAACAGUAGACAGAAUUAGAGAGCUUAUAAUGGAGAAGAGAUAUUUGAGGAAGAAAGUUGCUAGGCAGUGGGAAGAUGGAAUCCUCCCAAAUGUGAUGAAGGAUUGUUGGGUAUUCUUAACAUCAUUACCAAAAGUAGACUAAGUUCUCUAAAUCUAGUAACGGUGCCAAAAAUGCCAAACCUAUCCCUCACACCACUUAAGCCAAGUUGUCAUCCCCAGCAUGACAUGAGAGACGCGGUAUUGAAAUAUGCAAUUGCUCUUCUAAAUAAAUAAUGAAUGAGAUCUGCAAGCGCACAGAUUAAUACCGAUGUAGCAUUUUAACCGGGAAGUAUUCUAGGUAUCGUUAUUUAUAUUUUUACCACUGGGAAGGGAUUAGCAAUCAUCACUAUUGAUUACAGAAUAGAAUAUGAGAUUGAGCAUCUAUCAUUGCAUGUAUAAUUGAGAACAUUUAUCUAACUCUUCAUACAGGGAUAAGUGUCACAUAAAAGAUAUAUGAAAUAAUAAUAGUGACAAGGAUAACUAAUCUGAUCUAGCCACAUAAUAAAUAUGAUAAGCACCUCAAUUAGAUACUCUAGAAAGUCAUUAGCAUGGUAUUAGAACGAACUAUAAGAAUAUUCCCUAAGUUAUUCUCAACUAUAUAGUUUAGCAUUAUCAUAGUUAGUGCAAGCAUACUUAGCAAUCAUUGUGAGACAAGACUACGCCCAUGCAUAGUGAUAUUAGCAAGGAAUAUGAGAAACAUAGCAAUCACUCCCCUAUAAUAAUGUUGCUCUGCCAGCCCAAUACACGAGAGGGGGACUAUAUAAGAAUCAAUGAAGCUGUCACUAUCACGAACCACCCCACGAUCUGGCAUAUUGGGUACAAUCGCAGAUAAAUAUGGUAUAAGCACCACGCCUACACAAUAUCUAUCAUUUACCCAUGGAUCCGAUGGAUAAACGCUAUACGAUCCUAAGCAUGUAUAUAGAUCGAAUCUAACUAAGCCAAGUACAUAACUAUGAUAAACUAAGAACAAUAUAAUCUUGAAUAUAAGCAAGUAGAGCAAAGUCAUAAGCAAUAUAUUGAAGUAGAACAAAGUCAUAUUUAUAAUAUUGAAGAACAAAGAUAAUUAGAAAGUAAUUAGAAGCACAAUUAGAGAAUUACCAAGAAUCCUCUUGACAGAUCCGGAAACCAAUCGAAGAUUGACUCCUUCUAGUUCUAAUCCUAUGUAGCUAUGCUAAUCUAGAUAUCUAAUUGAUGUGGUGGCUCUAAUCUUGAUCAGAGGCUUCUUCUCCCUUGAAGAACAAUGAAUUAGGGUUGAGAGGCUCCCCCCUCUAGGGGCCAGGGGGUCUGGUUUUAUAGUCCCUUCAAGUGAAUAUGGGCCGUUGGAUCAAACCGACAUAGAUUGUAUGGUUUAGAUUCAUCCUUUAGGUCGGUGGAAAUCUCCCACGAAGCAGAGUCCUGAUUGGACUCAGGAGGUGGGCGGGCGCCCUGAUCACCUGGGCGGGCGCCCAGGGUCACGCCCCGUUUCGCCUCCGCUUCGGUUUCGUGGCUUCUGGAGUCUUCUAGAUGUAAGAUAAUUGCGCGACACGUUAAUAUCUCUAUGUAAUCCCGACGUGUGGGCCUUUCUUCCGUAUUUCCUGAUAACCCCCUACAGAAAUAGACAAACACCAAAACUCGUGGAAUUCUGUCAGAUAAAACCCUAAGUCUAGAUCUUGAUUUCAUUUGGAUCCUUUUCUUUAUUUAUUUGAUAAUUAAAUUUGAUACUUAAGGACCAUCAACAAGGAUCUCAACCUGAUCAGUACUCAACUCAAUGUAGUCAAGGUCAAAGUCAGUGAUGAUAACACUGCUGAAGUUACAAUCCUGGAGUGGGAGAAGCAAAGGAGGCACACUGUGGACCUAGGAAACCACAAUUGUUCCUGCAGGCAGUGGCAAGUGACUGGAAAGCCAUGUAAGCAUGCUUUGGCUUGGAUACUGUCAAUCCCAGGGAUGAGAAUUGAGGAUUAUGUACAUGAGUACUAUUCAGUUGCUAGAUUUAAGGCAGCUUAUGCUGAUAGGAUUGAGCCUAUCCCAGACAAGGAUGAAUGGCCUGUUGUCAACCUUGGUUUUAAAGUGUAUCCUUCAUUGCUAGGCAGAGGUCCAGGAAGGCCAAGGGUUGUAAGAAUUAGAGGGACUUUUGAGCAGAGGGCCACGAAGAAGAAAGUUAGGUGCAAGAGAUGUGGUGACUUUGGACAUUUUUCCAAGACCUGCAAGUUGCCAGAACUAGGUGAAGAUGGAGAAAGAGGACAAGGGUCUUCAAAAAGGUAUUAAAACUAUUGUCUAACCAUUUUAUUAUUUUUUCCUAUGUACUAAGAUCUAACCGGCUAUUGUCAUCUCAACGCAGAAAGAGGCCGACUCAGCAAGUGUCAUCACAGGAAGCUCCAACGCAGGAAGUACCAACACAGGAUGAUGCUGGACCUUCCCAGGUGAAGAAGACCAAGCCUCUGAAGAAGGUUACAACUAAGAAGAAGAAGAAGACACCAAAGAAAACAAAGCUGCAGAGGGAAGCAGCUGCACCUGGGAAGGCUGUUAUCAGCAGCAUCAGGCACCUGAUCUAUGAUGCUCCACAGGAUGCUGAUCUAUGAUUCUCCACAGGAUGCUGAUCUAUGAUGCUCCACUUAUAUGGCUUUGUUCUGAACCUUACUAUGUAAUGAGGCAUUAGAAUGCCAACUUGGAACUUGUAUGGCUGAUGCUGCUACUAUGUAAUGAGGCAUUAGAACUUGCCAACUAUUUUCAGUCAUGUGAACUCUACUUAUGUUAGUUUGUACUCUCCUGUAUUGUGUCAAUUAUCAUGUGAACUCUACUUAAAAUGUUAAGAAAACAAGACAAAGUGCUGCAGAAAUUCUAAUAUAUUUUGAAGCUGAAAUUCUAAUCUAUUUUCAGUGACAAAAGGCAUAGGACAAUGCUGAUCAUACUCAUCGAAGAAACUCAGUGACAAAAUGCUUGUUCUUUCAUUGCAAAUACACAUAAUUACAGUCACUUCAUCAUCUGAGAAAAACCUACACCUAGCAGUACACCCACAAGGACACCUACAACAACAGAUACAUCCAACACAAUUUGCAUUUUCCCCUUCCUGCCCAAGUCCAGUGCUGGACUCUGAUUACUAACUUGACUAGGAACAGCAACAACAUCUCUGUCUCCAAGUUGCACCUUCAUUUUCUCAAGUUCAGUGACAACUCUAUCUAGAGUUUGCUUCAUCUCCUUGUCCCGUUGAUUCAAAUCAUCAUUAGGAUCCCCAACUGCUGAAUGAAGGGGCAACUGCAGCUGAAUCUCUUUCUCCUUUUGCUUCAUAAACCAUGCCUCGUACUGCUCCUCCGAACGAAUCCAGCCACAAGUUGUUGGAUCACCCUGUGCAAGCAACACCAGUCAAAUUGAAAACAAAGGAAGCACAUUCAAGGGCAUAAACAAUGCAAAUAGUUACCUUUACGUUGUUUGGGCACUUGAUGAAUGCGACAUCCUUUGAGUGCUCUUGCUUGCUCACGAUUCGGAUCAAAGGAACAUUGCACACUGGGCAGUUCAGUAGGGGGCACUGCACCCUUCUACUGCCAGCAGCGGAAGAGCUCGAGGCCAUCUUCAUCUGCAGCGCCGCCGUCGGGAUCGUGGCACCGGAAUCGCCGCCGCCGCGCCUAGGGUUACGCUCGAGAGAGACAGAGAGGUGGAGAGCGAGAAUGAGUCAGGGGCGGGGUGGAGACGGCGUUUUUUGCCGCGCCGUUUAGAUGGCUCACGGCGACGGGCGCAUACGGUCGACCGUAUGCCACGUCGGCUUGCAAGCAGGCCCAAGCGUCCUUCUACCGUAUCCAAUGGCAUAUUUCAAAUUUUGCAAGAAUUGUAAUGGUCCGCUUCAGGAUACCUGAAUUAUAAUGGCAUAUUUCAAAUACUUUGAAAUUGUAAUGGCACCGUUCAAAAAAACCCAUUCCAAAAUAGAAAGUCCUUUUCCUUCCCAAACAGAAAACCAUGUUUAUCUGCCAACAGUUUCUAACCCAUGGGUCCCACGGGUGCCAACGGUUUCCCUCUUGAUCCUCCCCAAUCGCCCGCUCACACCACCACGCCGCCACGCCGCUCAUCGUUAACUUCCUGCCCUCCACGGACUUAUCCGCUCGUCGCGCCCGCCUCAAGCUAAUGACGAAUCUAAUGAGUAGAAGAGUGAGGGCAUGUGUCCUUAAGGAAAAAAAACGUCUUCGACCAGAAAUCUCCACCUGCCGCGCUGUGGAGUUCUCGUGCUGGGGCUCCUCCCCGUGCGUCGCCACGGUGCCGUGGCUGACCACACGAGCGCGGCUUGGCAUGCGUCUAAAGAUACAGUGGCCGUUGUUGGAGAUGACCUUGAAGCUGUGCAUCUGCCAUUCUGCCUUCCAUUGGUGCCUAUGGGGUACACUGUCAAACAGCGCUGGUGCCCCCUCCAUCGGCGCGGGAGGAAGAAGAUGACCAGGUUGAGCGGUGUGGAACCGUCGUAAACGAAUCUGCGCGGUUUCUCCCAACACGGUUGACUGUGGGCUGAUUUACGGGUACACGGUUAGUAUACAGCAUCGUACAUACCACUCAUAUAUAUAGUCAUAUAUAACAUCUCAAGUCCAUACACGGCACACUGCUUAGAGAACCUUUAUUUAUUUUGUAUGAAAAAGGGACAUGAAAGAAAACCAUUCUCCGAAUAUAUCAAAACAUGUAUAAGGCUGCCCGUGAAGUAGAAUCGCAUCCCCAUCCACAGAUUUAGUUGUAGGCGUCGGGGUUGGCGACGAGGUAGGCCUCGGCACCCUUGAAAAUGGCGGUGAGUGCCUCCUUGGCCUUGGCUUCCUCGUCCUUCUCGUCCAUGCCCGGCAGCAACUUGUAGGUCGACUCCACCUUCACCACGCUGCCGCCGUCGGCCGUGGGCUCCACCUUGAUGUGUGACGCCGCGGUCUCGAUGGCAACACCGAUGCCGCCGCCCUCGACGAGCGUGUUCUUGCACUCGCACUUGUCCACGUCCAGGAAAUCGAGCCUCUCCUUCAUGAAGCUGAACGGCAUGACUGCAAGAACGAUCGCGCACGUCAUUCGCUAGCUAUUUGAUCGAUCGAUCGGGCGACAACAUGUUGGUCUGGGCGACUGGGCAUGCUGCGGACACUUACAUGAGGUGAAGUUGAACUGCCUGACGCUGCCAACGCCGCCGUCGCCCUCCACGGGGUGGGCGCUGGCGACGACGUGGGAGGCGACCUUGGGCGCCAGGGUGUGCCAGUCCAUCACGGCGGCGCGGAACAGGCGCGGCGCGGCCACCGGCGACGGAAUCUCCAGGGUCCAGCUGCUGGCGGAGGCCAUUACUUCAGUGAUCGGCCGAGAUAAACUAAACUAGGUGCGAGCCGAAGCUGCUUAGGUGCUUGUGCUGCUGCAGGUGGUUUUAGGAUUGCGCUUUUGCUUGCGUUGCCAUUAGAGUGGCGGACGGAGGACUUUAAAUAGGCGGUUAUGGCGGGGUUGGUGGCGUCCCGUGAGGAUGAGACGCUCGGGAGUCGUCGUCGGCGGCUCUUCCCACUUUGGCUUGGCACGGCACCGUCGCUCGUCGGUCCAUGUAGUUCAUUAUAAUAUACUACAUGUUGCCGGGGUUGCGGACAAACGUCUGGAAACGUGCUGCCAUUCCGUCAGCGUUCAACCCCUGAAGGUGUAGAAUAUAUAUCGUCGAAUUGGCGAGCCAAAUCAGCUUCCAGAUCAAAAAGCAUGUACUGUAAGCGUGGGUUGGUGUCAUUAGAAACGAGAAUUAUACCGUACGUGAGCGUCCUGACUACUUGCAUCACUCUUUUGGUGUCGCACUGUCGCUAUUAACUACUAAUAAUAAACAUAAUCCUGUAAAUCCACCUCUUUUUAAUCAUCCUAUAAAUACCUCUACUGGCGACAGCAUGGACAAAGCUCAUACGGAAAAUAACAUAGUGGUGGCCAAAGCUGUAUGGGAAAAUAUUGAUUGCAGACUAUCAAUUGGGUGCAAAAGUACUCAGUGUAAACUAUUAAUUAAGUGCAAAUAUAAAGACAAUUGCUAUGUCACAGUUGAUUGUUUUAGCCUCCGUGAAUAACUGAUUUCCUGGCCGUUUGAUUCUUAUCACGUGGGAUGAAAGAAAGACCAACAACGCUGCGGAAGCAGAGCGUGAGGAAGGACCGAAGGAGCCACCAGGGGUCCACUGAUGUCGCCAUUAGCACCAAGGAGAGGCCGUCGUCAGAGUCAGAGUCAGGGUUGUAGAGGGCUAUCACGUCCGUUGUCGAGGUCGGGGUGGGGUAAAGAUGGCAAUGGAUAAUUACCCGCUGGGUAUAUGCUACCCAUACCUUUACCGAUGAGAAAAUAUUUUACCCGUUAAUUUACAUAUCCAUGUAUGGGUAAGAGUUUUUUCCCAUACCCUUACCCACGUGGGUAACGGGUAAUCCAUGAGUUUUCUUACCCAUGAUUCUAAGAAUACUUGUAAAAAAUAAAUACAUAUUUAAAUAUUCUAGACUCCCAAUUUCAGCCAAAGUAUCAUAAGUCAUUAAUAAAAUCAUCAAAUAUACAAGCUCCAUGAAUACCUAAUCAAGUAAUCUAAUAGAUAAAUCCAUCAUUACUAGACAACAAGUGACAAAAUUUACAAGUUUCCGUGUUGUGCGGCCGCCGCAAGGAGAUAGGGGAAAGGUGAGAGAGCGGAUGUGUGAGGUACUAAGGUGAGGGCCUAGAGUUUGACAGCAUUAUAUAUGAUUUUUAUUGGACUUGGCCUGUGUAUGGUGAUUUUGGUCCAUAAUUCUAACUUAUUGAAUCGGGUCCAAUCCCAUACCCUUACUCGCUUUACCCGCUGGCUAAAGCUUUUUCCCAUUAUCUUACCUAUGGAUAAAAAAAAUAGUCAUACCUUUACCCUAAUGAAGUAAUUAACCAUCGGAUUUCGAGUAAAAAUUGACAUCUUUAAGGUGGGGAAUGGCCGCCGCAUCUACCAUAGCCACCUGCUUCCUGAGAUCCAUGGGGAAAGAGCCCGCCGCUAGCCGAGGGUGAGGAGCCGCCGCCUCUGUGUGGCCAACUUCAUGUCGGGCCUCUACCGUGGCGGGGGUAGCUCACAGAAGGGAAGGGAUAAAGUUGGUGAGGGUGGGUCCCACCAUAAUUGGUGAAUAAUUUGCCAUGUAUUUCUCUAAUAUCUACUAUCUAAAGAAAUAUUUUGUAUUUUUUUCUGAAAAGUUUGGCAUAUUUGUCUUUGAGAUAUGUAAUCUAUAAAAAUACCUAAGAUAUAUCACUAUAUCCAAUAAAUGACACUAUGUGUUAGCAUUUUCUCACUACAUUUUCAAAGGUGUUAACACACUAGAUUCUAAUGCAUAUGCAUUAUCAACAACAGCUAGUGACACUUGAUAAACCGCUUUUAACCAUAAUUUUCCUCUCUUUAUAGUACAGCUAUCUAGUCGACUAGUCCAAACCCAAUUAUAUCCUCUAUGGUAUCUUGAUUGGCGAAACAAGAAUGGCCCUAUCACAUACCUUUGCCUUAAGCUCAUUUUUAUUUUUCUCUUUCUUUUUUUCCAAGUUGGAGCACUUGAUCUUCACACUUGACCACCUCCAUCAUCUAUAGAUGCCAUAAUCUAGCUGGUGUGUACCAAUCCUAUUUCCUAUCUUAUAUACACCUAAAGCAAUGGUUAGUAGACUUAGAUCUCAUCAAUUAUCCGAAACUAAACUAGAACUUUCAUGUAGUGACACAACAUCUACUUUCUCUCACCCUUCCUCUUUCAUGGAAUGCAAGCAUUCAUACAUCAUUAGUAUGUUGUAUGUAAUGAGUCUCUCUAGCACAAACACCGACUGUUCUUCCGAAAUCACCUUUGGGAAAAAAUAAUCCACAGUCUGUUUGCCACCGUCUUAGAAGCAAUCUUAUAUAUCAUGUUACAUAGACUGAUGAUAGGCCAAAACAGCCCGCUCGACCAACUUCUCCACUUUUGUGAUCAAUACUAUUCAUGUGCUAUUUAUCACAGAAGGAUCAUCCUCGCCACAUAAGUCCUAGUGCCGCUAAAAAAAAUGAGCAGGAAAACCAUCUGGCCCCGGCGUUUUUGUCUUAAACAUGUGAGAAAGCUUAGUCCUGAUCUCCUCCUUUCGUAUACAAGGCGAGUGUCCUGACAACUACUUGCAUCACUCUUUUGAUGUUGCACUAUCGUUGUUAGCCUUAUCAUUAACUCCUUUCCUCUCUAAUCUCUAGAAUUAAGCAAAGAUUUGAAUGCUUUCUCAAUUUACCAUCAUAUAAUUAUUAUAUUAUAAUAUAAUCAAAUAAAUACACCUCUUUUUAUUCAUCCCGCAAAUAUAUCUAGUGGCAAUGAGUAUGGAAAGAGCUAAUACGAAAACUAUCAUAGUGGUGGCCAAAUACAUGAGAAAAUAUUCAGUGCAAACUAUAGAUUGGGUGCAAACAUAAACCCUUUAUAACAUAAUUAGAUGUUUUCUUAAAAAAAUGCCCACUUCGCCACUAAAGUUAAGAUACAAAGAAAUGGGGUGGGGGUGUGAUGCAAAGAUAUUGGAGAGUGAAUCUCUUCUUUCAAACCUCCCAAGAAACUAGUCACAAAGUAAACAUAAUCGUAGGAGCUAUUGUACAAUAGAAUUUGAUGCGCAGGCUGUUCAAGCUACUCAAAUUACUGUGACCGAACUAGUCUACUGAAGAUGAUUGUUUCAUACAUAACUCAUAUUGGUCACGAUUAAAAUAAUUACAAACCGCAUCACAAGAGCAGGCCAAGAUGUGAAACAACCACACAACUCUUUAAAUUGUAACCAAGUGGCAGCGGUCCUCCAGAACUCAAUGCAACAGAGCUAGGCUUCAAUGUCUCGCUGAUAGAGUACAUCUCAAAAUAGAUCUUACAGUGAUCCUUCCACAACCAUAAAUUGUCACCAUCAAAUUUGGGGAAAUAUGAUUUGGGCAUCGGACCAACUGGAGAUGUAUAAGAAUAUGAAUGUUCCAUCGGUCCACCUAUCAUUCCCUUGUACUUGCGUGCCCGUUAGUUAGCUAUUAUGUUCCUCUUUUUUAUUGGAUCCCAAACACCUCUGCUUCUAGACCAACUUCCAUCGUCGUCUACACAUAUCCCAUGGAGUUAGAGCAAGUUUAAUUAAUACAGUCCACUUGCUGACUGUAAGGUUCCUUACAGCCUUCUUUCAGCCCCACCCAUACAAUAGUUAGUUAUUCAUUAUUAAUACAUGACUCACUUAUCUCUCUUACAAAGUUUUCAGCUUACAACAUGCUUCUCUUCUCUCUCCUCCACCUCAGUAUUUAGCCAGCUUACAGCCCACUAUAAUACUUGCUCUUAUGACAAAUGCCUACUUCUCUCGCCUUUUUAGUGAACACUAUAACUCCUGGAGUCUUCAUAUUAUUCGAAAAAUAAAUUCAAAUUUCAACAAUGACACAUUCAGCAGAAUAAAAAGUCUCCAAAUUUCUAUUAAAAAAGAGCAAACAUUCCUUAUUCAGUCAAACUUGCAAAGGAUUUCAAAACAGAAGACCUCGUAUAACCAUGAGGGUGUAAGUAAUCUCACAAACAAAGCAUCACAAACCACUUAUAAUCUCAAGUCCAUACACGGUACACCACACACUGCAUAGAGCAACUUUAUUUUGUUUUGUAUGAAAAAAGAGGAAAACUCCAGGAAAGAAAAAAGAAAAUUAAACCCAAACUUCAGGAAGGGGAAUCGCAUCCCAAUCGACUGAUUUAGUUGUAGGCGUCGGGGUUGGCGACGAGGUAGGCCUCGGCACCCUUGAAAAUGGCGGUGACUGCCUCCUUGGCCUUGACUUCCUCGUCCUUCUCGUCUACGCCAGGCAGCAGCUUGUAGGUCGACUCCACCUUCACCACGCUGCCGCCGCCGGCCGCGGGCUCCACCUUGAUGUGCGACGCCGCGGUCUCGAUGGCAACACCGAUGCCGCCGCCCUCGACGAGCGUGUUCUUGCACUCGCACUUGUCCACGUCCAGGAAAUCGAGCCUCUCCUUCAUGAAGCUGAACGGCAUGACUGCAAGAACGAUCGCGCACGUCAUUCGCUAGCUAUUUGAUCGAUCGAUCGGGCGACAACAUGUUGGUCUGGGCGACUGGGCAUGCUGCGGACACUUACAUGAGGUGAAGUUGAACUGCCUGACGCUGCCAACGCCGCCGUCGCCCUCCACGGGGUGGGCGCUGGCGACGACGUGGGAGGCGACCUUGGGCGCCAG